This 239-nucleotide long non-coding RNA is filed under the name Elaeis guineensis (African oil palm). Its description in RNAcentral is "long non-coding RNA (EGUI_LNC021136)". The record is from RNAcentral. Lineage: Eukaryota; Viridiplantae; Streptophyta; Magnoliopsida; Arecales; Arecaceae.
ACUUACAAUGGUUGAUAGUCAUUUCCGCAACAAGUGGUGUGUACAAUAACUAUAUAGUAAUAGCUAGUAAAUGGAUUGUAAUAGUUAACCGCAUGCUCCGAUGAUUACAAAUGCCUUAAUCAUGUGAUAAUAGCUACGGGCAUAUUGUCAUUGGUAUUGUCGAACUGGUACGAUGGCAUCUUCAAAUCGUUCAUGUCCAAGAUGAUGAGGUCAAUCAUGCUUAGUUGGUUCACCUCGGA